GGGCAGCAAGCUCCAGGAGCAAUAAGAACUGUCCCCUGUUUAUAACUGACAUAAAUAGAAGUUUUAUAGAAUAAUAUUAGCACCAAACUUAUCUAAAAAUUUCUAUAGCCGUGACAGUGCUUCCCUAGUCGACCCUUUUUACAAAACUCUUUACCUCAACACACAUCUCUAUAAUCAUUUUAUACAGAGAGGUUAUUUCUUUUUGCUGCAUUACUGUUCUUUAGGACCUUUGGGACCAGAUUUCCAAAAUGGUGCCGAUCAAUGGAGAGAAAUCAGAAUGUCACUAAAUUGCAGGGUUUCUGGAGGCUUUUCUGUACCUGCCACUCAGGCUAAAGUAAUAACAUCAGAGGCCACAUGGUUUCCCAAAUGUAGGUGAUUGGCAACUGCAGAUUUUAAAAUAUGUCCUAUACAACGUUUGGCCCCUGUGGAAUGAGCCUCUUACUGUGCAACAUUGCAAAUGUUUAUUUAGGACCAGUUUUGUUGUUGUUGUUGUUUUUGCAUUGCUCCACGACCACAGGUAAUAUCUCAGUUCUCUGCCACAGAGCUGAAUCCUGAUGGGCACAUUUGUCCUCUCUGAGUCUCCCUCUCACCUGUGACAGUGUGCCUUGUGGACUCUGCCUGUUUCCACCUUAUGAUUGAACUAGAGCUCGACUCUCCAGCAGCGUGUUCUGCAUGGCUAAAGAGCCAUCCUGAAAACCUCUAAAGGUCAGUGGAAAAGGAUGGCCAGGGGAGGCAUUACAGUUAGCUUUGUGUCUGUUUCUAUGAAAUUCUUCCACUUAUGUUUACUUUAGGCCAACAGCAAGUUAAUAGAUUCUAAAUCUACCCCCAUCCCAAACCAUUCCAAGUAGCUUAUUCUAGAUCCCUCCCAAGGGUCAGUGCCCUAAGGAAAGCAUGUUGGCAGGUAUUAGAAAAUGUUUUUAGCAGAGCCUCAUAGGGAUAGCAAUGCUGAUCCUAGCAAAAAUGGAUCAGGUUCCUAAAGCAACUUGUUCUUGAAGCUAUCCCACUACUAUCUACAGCUUCUUUCCAUCCUCUUCCCUUCCAUCCUUUUCCCAAGUCCUAUUCCUUUGAGGCUGGUAACUGUAAUUUAAGAUGGUAGCUGACUGGGGUUUAAGGUUUGAGCCCUCCCAAGGGUCUGUGCAUUUGAGAAGGAAAUUUCUAAAAAUCAUGAAGGUGCCCUAACUCCCUUCCUCAUGAUUCCUACUCAGAAACACAGGUGGGUAGGAAGCCAGGGUUCCAGGGAAGUCUUUUUCCUGAUUUUCAGACCUAUAACCUGUUAGACCUUUGCCAACAUGGUACAUGGAAGUUAUUCUUAUAAAUCUAUUCUUUAAUAUUUUUACACAGUGUUUCUUUUUGGAUAAGCAAAUAAAGAAUCACUUUUCUAAAGUGACUUUAUCCUCAAGAUAGAGACAUUUACCUGUCUGGUAAAUCACACAUUACUUAGGUAUAUAUGUUGUUAUAACCAGGUGGAGCUUCCAUUUUUAAGCUGGGUAUAUGAUGGGUUUUUGUUAAAAUGUGCCUUAAAAGCCUAUUACUUCAAGAGCAAAUGAUUCUUUGGGGGAAAGGCAAAGUUAAUGCUAUGACAUCAGACUCAAGUUCAUGGUAGUAAGUGCACUCUUUGAUUAAUGACACACUGAUACAUAGACUACUGCCUCAAAGCCGUAAGCAUGGCAAUGACCUCUUAGUUAAAGAGAAAUGUAGGAGUUAUAAACAUUCAGUUUCUGAAGUCUGUGCUAUUGGAAUUACAAAAUCUCUUCAAUUCCUUUUUCAUUUUAUUUUUGAUAUGGGACUUAGCUUACUUGUGUGUGGCCACCUUUAGGUCUCAAAUGUAAUGCUAUAAAUAUGUAUAAAUAUACAAAAUAAUGUAUAAAUACAAAGCCCAAAUACGUGACUACAGUGACUGCUCUGGAACAUUUUUGCUCGUUUUCAAAGGUUGAGAACUUGACCUACAGAUUUCCAGGGCAAUUAGAACUUCUAUAGGGAUGAGACUCUGCUUGUGAAAUACCCUCUUUGGUUAUUUUCAGUGAUAUAGAUUAGUGUGUAUGACCAGGAUAGCGUGUUUCUGAAGGAAUAUAUAUCAAAAACUGGUUGACAUUCACAGACGGUAAUGUUUUGUGAACCUGAUAUAUUUUGGGCCCUUAAAUGUAAAAAUGCCUAAAAACACAGCAAUAUUGUUAUAUACGGGUUCUAUGAAACACACUCGAGAAAAACAGCGGGAUUGUCUUGAUUAUUAAAGUAUGGUAUGCAUUC
This is a long non-coding RNA of Phocoena sinus (vaquita), 2247 nucleotides long. Lineage: Eukaryota; Metazoa; Chordata; Mammalia; Artiodactyla; Phocoenidae. The record is from Ensembl.